Molecule: ribosomal RNA, 547 nt
Filed under: uncultured bacterium
Lineage: Bacteria
Description: bacterial SSU rRNA
Rfam family: Bacterial small subunit ribosomal RNA
Source: RNAcentral
UGGGGAAUAUUGCACAAUGGGGGGAACCCUGAUGCAGCCAUGCCGCGUGAAUGAAGAAGGCCUUCGGGUUGUAAAGUUCUUUCGGUGACGAGGAAGGUUGGUAGGUUAAUAGCCUAUCAAAUUGACGUUAAUCACAGAAGAAGCACCGGCUAACUCCGUGCCAGCAGCCGCGGUAAUACGGGGGGUGCGAGCGUUAAUCGGAAUAACUGGGCGUAAAGGGCACGCGGGCGGUGACUUAAGUGAGAUGUGAAAGCCCCGAGCUUAACUUGGGAAUUGCAUUUCAUACUGGGUCGCUAGAGUACUUUAGGGAGGGGUAGAAUUCCACGUGUAGCGGUGAAAUGCGUAGAGAUGUGGAGGAAUACCGAAGGCGAAGGCAGCCCCUUGGGAAUGUACUGACGCUCAUGUGCGAAAGCGUGGGGAGCAAACAGGAUUAGAUACCCUGGUAGUCCACGCUGUAAACGAUGUCGAUUUGGGGGUUGGGCUUUGAGCUUGGUGCCCGUAGCUAACGUGAUAAAUCGACCGCCUGGGGAGUACGGCCGCAAGGUUA